AGUGAACGCUGGCGGUAGGCCUAACACAUGCAAGUCGAACGGCAGCACAGUAAGAGCUUGCUCUUACGGGUGGCGAGUGGCGGACGGGUGAGGAAUACAUCGGAAUCUACUUUUUCGUGGGGGAUAACGUAGGGAAACUUACGCUAAUACCGCAUACGACCUACGGGUGAAAGCAGGGGAUCUUCGGACCUUGCGCGAUUGAAUGAGCCGAUGUCGGAUUAGCUAGUUGGCGGGGUAAAGGCCCACCAAGGCGACGAUCCGUAGCUGGUCUGAGAGGAUGAUCCGCCAACGUUGAACUGAGAACCGGCCCAAACCCCUAGGGGGGGCAGGAGGGGGGAAUAUUGGAAAAGGGGCGCAAGCCUGAUCCCGCCAUACCGCGGGGGUGAAGAAGGCCUUCGGGUUGUAAAGCCCUUUUGUUGGGAAAAAAAAGCAGCAGGUUAAUACCCCGCUGUUCGGACGGGACCAAAAGAAUAAGCACCGGCUAACUGCGG
RNAcentral lists this ribosomal RNA (491 nucleotides) under uncultured bacterium. Its description in RNAcentral is "partial 16S ribosomal RNA". It matches the Rfam family "Bacterial small subunit ribosomal RNA", at positions 29 to 506 of the family's 1533-position model. The record is from RNAcentral.